UACGUAGGUGGCAAGCGUUAUCCGGAAUUAUUGGGCGUAAAGAGCGCGCAGGUGGUUGAUUAAGUCUGAUGUGAAAGCCCACGGCUUAACCGUGGAGGGUCAUUGGAAACUGGUCGACUUGAGUGCAGAAGAGGGAAGUGGAAUUCCUAGUGUAGCGGUGAAAUGCGUAGAGAUUAGGAAGAACACCAGUGGCGAAGGCGAUUCUCUGGACUGUAACUGACGCUGAGGCUCGAAAGCGUGGGGAGCAAACAGGAUUAGAUACCCGCGUA
RNAcentral lists this ribosomal RNA (269 nucleotides) under uncultured prokaryote. RNAcentral's name for it is "partial 16S ribosomal RNA". It matches the Rfam family "Bacterial small subunit ribosomal RNA", at positions 524 to 792 of the family's 1533-position model. The record is from RNAcentral.